RNAcentral lists this long non-coding RNA (256 nucleotides) under Homo sapiens (human). RNAcentral's name for it is "non-protein coding lnc-PCDH18-1:5". Lineage: Eukaryota; Metazoa; Chordata; Mammalia; Primates; Hominidae. The record is from RNAcentral.
AUUUUAUUCAUCAGCGAGAGGGGACCUGAAAGCAGGUCGCCAUCUGUGAGGAUUAAAGUUAGGACCAAAUGCUGCUCAGAAAUUGUUUUAAUCUCAAAAGUAGUUGGCAAGUUUUCAGAGUUCAUUUUCAAGGCCUGGUGUAUGCAUUGGUUACAUGAAAACCGUGUGACAACCUUGGAAGUCUGAAAGAGCAGGAGAGAGGCUAAGCACACACAUAUUGUGAUUUUAAGAGUCUCAAGGGCUGACACAAGCUGAG